CAGCCGUAAACUAUGCGCGUUAGGUGUACUGGUGACCACGAGUCACCGGGGUGCCGAAGGGAAACCGUGAAACGUGCCGCCUGGGAAGUACGGUCGCAAGGCUGAAACUUAAAGGAAUUGGCGGGGGAGGCACCACAACGGGUGGGAGCCUGCGGGUUUAAUUUGGACUCAACGCCGGAAAUCUCACCGGAUAGGACAGACAUAUGAUAGUCGGGCUGAAGACUCUACUUGAUGAUCUGAGAGGAGGUGCAUGGCGUCAGUGAC
Molecule: ribosomal RNA, 264 nt
Filed under: uncultured archaeon
Lineage: Archaea
Description: partial 16S ribosomal RNA
Rfam family: Archaeal small subunit ribosomal RNA
Source: RNAcentral